AUUGAACGCUGGCGGCAGGCCUAACACAUGCAAGUCGAACGGUAACAGGAAACAGCUUGCUGUUUCGCUGACGAGUGGCGGACGGGUGAGUAAUGUCUGGGAAACUGCCUGAUGGAGGGGGAUAACUACUGGAAACGGUAGCUAAUACCGCAUAACGUCGCAAGACCAAAGAGGGGGACCUUCGGGCCUCUUGCCAUCGGAUGUGCCCAGAUGGGAUUAGCUAGUAGGUGGGGUAACGGCCCACCUAGGCGACGAUCCCUAGCUGGUCUGAGAGGAUGACCAGCCACACUGGAACUGAGACACGGUCCAGACUCCUACGGGAGGCAGCAGUGGGGAAUAUUGCACAAUGGGCGCAAGCCUGAUGCAGCCAUGCCGCGUGUAUGAAGAAGGCCUUCGGGUUGUAAAGUACUUUCAGCGGGGAGGAAGGGAGUAAAGUUAAUACCUUUACUCAUUGACGUUACCCGCAGAAGAAGCACCGGCUAACUCCGUG
RNAcentral lists this ribosomal RNA (490 nucleotides) under uncultured bacterium. Its description in RNAcentral is "partial 16S ribosomal RNA". It matches the Rfam family "Bacterial small subunit ribosomal RNA", at positions 30 to 507 of the family's 1533-position model. The record is from RNAcentral.